This is a non-coding RNA of Heterocephalus glaber (naked mole-rat), 388 nucleotides long. Lineage: Eukaryota; Metazoa; Chordata; Mammalia; Rodentia; Bathyergidae. The record is from RefSeq and is a predicted model, not a curated record.
AUAUAGGAGGGUUCUUCCGGGGUCGUGACGCUGGAGUGCAGGCUCGGAUCACUUUCCCGCGAGCCUCCCAUCUUGCUAGACCACCUUCUAGGACUUCUACUGGUUGCACGCUGCGUGGGAAGGACUCUGAGAGACCCUGAAGCCACGCAAUGAUUGGAAAACCUUGUUCCUAUGAAAAAGUGAAGAGUGCUACCAGGAGUUUUGAGAGAUGUCUGGCUGGCAGACACCACUUCCAGGCAUCGUACUCAGGACCUUAUGCUUUUGAGGCAGGCGUUGGAACCACUGAGCUAAAUCCUCGGCCCCAAAUGAUUGAUUUUUUUCAGCAAUGGGAACUGAACCCUCCUUUGUCUCCUUUCCUACAAUGCAUUACUUAACACCUGCCAGACAG